RNAcentral lists this signal recognition particle RNA (269 nucleotides) under Capronia coronata CBS 617.96. Its description in RNAcentral is "Fungal signal recognition particle RNA". It matches the Rfam family "Fungal signal recognition particle RNA". Lineage: Eukaryota; Fungi; Ascomycota; Eurotiomycetes; Chaetothyriales; Herpotrichiellaceae. The record is from Rfam by way of RNAcentral.
UGGCUGUCGUGGUCAAAAAGUUAGAAGGUUGCCUUUGAGCCUUGGGCGUCGCUUCACACACCACUUGUUCAUGCGUGCCUCACUCGGGAUUUCGGGUCGUCCAUCGUACUCGUAUGUGUAAACUACGAUUGCUACGGGGCGCUAAGCAAUGGAGAUGAUACUUGAGGGAAGCAAUUCUGCAGAGACAUCCCCACCCGGAGUUGGCGAUGUGAGAUUACACCGUGGCAAGAUAUGCGAAGUUUCGGGCUAGUUGGGUGAUCAACUUUUUU